AUGGUAAGAAGUCAAGUCUGAGUCAUCUCAGAAUUUGGGAUUGUCUGGCUCAUGUCAAGAGACAGUAGGCGGACAAGUUAGAGUUCAAAUCUUUUAGAGCUCGAUUCAUAGUAUAUCCUAAAGAGUCAUUAGGAUACUAUUUCUAUAUUUUGGAAGAUCACAAUGUGAUUAUGAUCGAUAUGCUAUUUUUCUUGAAAAAUAAUUUAUUCAAGAUAGUGGCAUCGAAAGAAUAAUUAAGCUCAAAGAGAAUGUCUCCCAAGAGCAACGAGCUAAAGAAUCUGAGGAACCCAAUCAAUUAGAACCAGUCCUAACACAACCUCUUCCACCUCAU
RNAcentral lists this long non-coding RNA (331 nucleotides) under Elaeis guineensis (African oil palm). Its description in RNAcentral is "long non-coding RNA (EGUI_LNC060271)". The record is from RNAcentral. Lineage: Eukaryota; Viridiplantae; Streptophyta; Magnoliopsida; Arecales; Arecaceae.